CGCCUAGAUGAUGCCUUUCUUC
RNAcentral lists this microRNA (22 nucleotides) under Eptesicus fuscus (big brown bat). RNAcentral's name for it is "efu-miR-337". Its record names the gene efu-miR-337. The record is from miRBase by way of RNAcentral. Lineage: Eukaryota; Metazoa; Chordata; Mammalia; Chiroptera; Vespertilionidae.